UCUCCGUAGGUGAACCUGCGGAGGGAUCAUUAACAUGAUUUACUUUAUAAACAAACUGUGAACUUUAUUAUCAUACUAUUCUUGUAGGGGUUAUUUUAUAAUCUUUUACAACGUCAUUCGAUGAACAUUAGAUAGUUGGCUUGUUUUUUUUUUAAUAAAAAACUUUCUCAGCUGAUUUGUUUGUUAGACUAAACAUCUAUUCAAUCAAUCAACCAAAAACAUAGAAACAACUCUAUGCCCUGGAUAUCUUGGUUCUC
Molecule: unclassified non-coding RNA, 257 nt
Filed under: plant metagenome
Description: partial contains small subunit ribosomal RNA, internal transcribed spacer 1, and 5.8S ribosomal RNA
Source: RNAcentral